CACAUAUGAAGUGAGCCAGCAC
This 22-nucleotide microRNA is filed under the name Homo sapiens (human). Its description in RNAcentral is "hsa-miR-5580-3p". The record is from miRBase by way of RNAcentral. Lineage: Eukaryota; Metazoa; Chordata; Mammalia; Primates; Hominidae.